UCUGGUGAUUAGAGCGAGGUGGAACCACCCGUCUCCAUCCCGAACACGGUAGUGAAACGCCUUAGCGCUGACGAUACUGCGCUCGUGAGGGUCUGGGAAAAUAGGCCAUUGCCAGGA
This 117-nucleotide ribosomal RNA is filed under the name SAR202 cluster bacterium Io17-Chloro-G3. Lineage: Bacteria; Bacillati; Chloroflexota; Dehalococcoidia. The record is from RNAcentral.